GUGAAUCAUCGAAUUUUUGAACGCAAAUUGCACUCUCUGGUAUUCCGGAGAGUAUGCCUGUUUGAGGGUCAGUUUAAAUAAAAAUCGGUGUGGUUGCUGCCUUUCGUGGUGACGCACCGGAUUUGGGUCGUCUUGCCUUCGGUUAAGUGACCUAAAAUUUUGCAUGAUUUUUUUCGACGUAAUUUAGGGGUUUUACGUUAGGUUUCGGUUACGGAU
This 216-nucleotide unclassified non-coding RNA is filed under the name Glomus sp. RNAcentral's name for it is "partial contains 5.8S ribosomal RNA and internal transcribed spacer 2". The stretch from base 1 to 71 matches the Rfam family "5.8S ribosomal RNA", at positions 84 to 154 of the family's 154-position model. The record is from RNAcentral. Lineage: Eukaryota; Fungi; Glomeromycota; Glomeromycetes; Glomerales; Glomeraceae.